AUACUUACCUGGCAGAGGAGACACCAUGAUCAAGCAGGUGGUUUUCCCAGGGCAAGGCUUAUCCCUUGCACAACUGGUGUUCUGACCCCUGCGAUUUCCCCAAAUGCAGGAAACUCGACUGCAUAAUUUGUGGUAGUGGGGCACUAAGACGAUCCAG
Molecule: small nuclear RNA, 157 nt
Filed under: Melopsittacus undulatus (budgerigar)
Lineage: Eukaryota; Metazoa; Chordata; Aves; Psittaciformes; Psittaculidae
Description: U1 spliceosomal RNA (ENSMUNG00000016707.2)
Rfam family: U1 spliceosomal RNA
About the family: U1 is a small nuclear RNA (snRNA) component of the spliceosome (involved in pre-mRNA splicing). Its 5' end forms complementary base pairs with the 5' splice junction, thus defining the 5' donor site of an intron.
Source: RNAcentral